This 364-nucleotide unclassified non-coding RNA is filed under the name uncultured fungus. Its description in RNAcentral is "partial contains small subunit ribosomal RNA, internal transcribed spacer 1, and 5.8S ribosomal RNA". The stretch from base 1 to 73 matches the Rfam family "Eukaryotic small subunit ribosomal RNA", at positions 1759 to 1831 of the family's 1831-position model. The record is from RNAcentral. Lineage: Eukaryota; Fungi.
CCAAACUUGGUCAUUUAGAGGAAGUAAAAGUCGUAACAAGGUUUCCGUAGGUGAACCUGCGGAAGGAUCAUCACUGGACAUGAAAUCCACAAGCCGUGUGAACUGUAAGAGGGGGCCAGCUUGGCGGGGGGGGAUGGUUGAGGCCAGCAGAUGGGGUCGAGACCGCAUCGAGGCGAGGUCGCAUCGAGGCUCGCACACCCCCCAGGCUCGCACGCCCCGCGCUACCUCCACAGGUGGCACCCGCCACGUGCCCACACUUUCAACAAACAUUUCAAACACUCGAGCUAAAUAAUACACACUUUGUAAACUACAAACAACUUUCAACAACGGAUCUCUUGGCUCUCGCAUCGAUGAAGAACGCAGC